AUGGCCUCCUCCCACUCCAGCAUCGACGCCGCUCUCAAGAAACUACCAAAGAAGAAGGGCCUGCGGGGAGCCAAGGACGCGAAUGGGGAAACCAUGCUUCAUUUCGCUUCGAGCCAGGGCUGCCUGGUGAGCUGCCUGUUCCUGUUCCUGGUGGAGGAGGCGGGGCUUGAUGUCAACUCGGAGUCAAAGACAGGUGUGACACCCAUGGUCCUCGCCGCACUCCAGGGAAAUGUCGAGGUUACGAGGUACCUUCUUGAUCAUGGCGGUGACCCUGCGAUGCCCGAUGAGAGGGGCUCCACGCCGCUGCACAAUGCAGCAGCGGCAGGGCACUGCGAGGCUGUAAGGCUAUUGCUGUCGAAAGGAGUUAAUCUGGAUCCUAUCCAUUACCAAGGGGACACCAUUACACUUGGCUGCUGUGGAGGACCAAGAUCAGGUUGUAAUGGUUCUGCUGGAGCAUGGGGCUGA
Molecule: ribosomal RNA, 465 nt
Filed under: Triticum aestivum (bread wheat)
Lineage: Eukaryota; Viridiplantae; Streptophyta; Magnoliopsida; Poales; Poaceae
Description: partial small subunit ribosomal RNA
Source: RNAcentral